CACUGGAGUUCAGUGAUUACUGCCACAAUCAUCAACCCCCUAUAGCAUUUAUCAGAACUGAAGUGAGAGGUUUAUUUGGUUAUGCCUUCUGUGAUUUUGGCCCUGAAUUCACAGUUUUUGAUGUAGAUGGUGAAGAACCUCAUACGGGAAUCAUUGCAUCAGUUAGCAAUGAUAACCCUGCCCUUGUUUCGUGUGUGGAUGCUAUUUGGUUAUGUCUUCUGUGAUUUUGGCCCUGAAUUCACAGUUUUUGAUGUAGAUGGUGAAGAACCUCAUACGGGCAUCAUUGCAUCAAUUAGUAAUGAUAACCCUGCCCUUGUUUCGUGUGUGGAUGAUGAAAGGCUCGAGUUUCAGGAUGGGGACCUAGUUGUGUUUUCAGAAGUACGGGGCAUGACAGAACUUAAUGAUGGC
Molecule: long non-coding RNA, 408 nt
Filed under: Nicotiana benthamiana
Lineage: Eukaryota; Viridiplantae; Streptophyta; Magnoliopsida; Solanales; Solanaceae
Description: long non-coding RNA (NBEN_LNC019931)
Source: RNAcentral